This 76-nucleotide transfer RNA is filed under the name Streptomyces spectabilis. RNAcentral's name for it is "tRNA-Leu". The record is from RNAcentral. Lineage: Bacteria; Bacillati; Actinomycetota; Actinomycetes; Kitasatosporales; Streptomycetaceae.
UCGCGCGGUUCGUCCUCGGGGGGCUCGCCGUUCAACAGGGCGCGCACACGGUCGGGUUCGAUCCCCGUCGCGCGGG